AAGGGUAUAGCUCAGUGGUAGAGAAUGGGCUUAGCAUGCCCGAGGUCCUGGGUUCAAUCCCCAGUACCUCCA
This 72-nucleotide transfer RNA is filed under the name Camelus bactrianus (Bactrian camel). It matches the Rfam family "tRNA". Rfam says of the family: Transfer RNA (tRNA) molecules are approximately 80 nucleotides in length. Their secondary structure includes four short double-helical elements and three loops (D, anti-codon, and T loops). The record is from Rfam by way of RNAcentral. Lineage: Eukaryota; Metazoa; Chordata; Mammalia; Artiodactyla; Camelidae. RNAcentral also lists the same sequence under 2 other names.